This 388-nucleotide unclassified non-coding RNA is filed under the name soil metagenome. RNAcentral describes it as "partial contains 5.8S ribosomal RNA, internal transcribed spacer 2, and large subunit ribosomal RNA". The stretch from base 2 to 121 matches the Rfam family "5.8S ribosomal RNA", at positions 35 to 154 of the family's 154-position model. The record is from RNAcentral.
GGAUGAAGAACGUAGCGAAUUGCGAUAUGUAAUGUGAAUUGCAGAAUUCAGUGAAUCAUCGAAUCUUUGAACGCACCUUGCACCCUUUGGUAUUCCGAAGGGUAUGCCUGUUUGAGUGUCAUUAAAUUCUCAACUUCAAAAGAGUUUGUGCUUUCUUGAAGCUUGGACUAUGGAAGCCUGCUGGUAUCACUAUCAGCUCUUCUUAAAUGCAUUAGCGGAACCGUAAAGGACCAGCUUUGGUUUGAUAAUCCUAUCUAUGCCGUCGCUGUGGACUUGGCGUUCAGCUUCUAACUGUCUUAGGACUGCCUCUUAGGGCAUACAAUUUUAAGCUUGACCUCAAAUCAGGUAGGACUACCCGCUGAACUUAAGCAUAUCAAUAAGCGGAGGA